UACGGAGGGUGCGAGCGUUAAUCGGAAUUACUGGGCGUAAAGGGCACGCAGGCGGGUUGUUAAGUGAGAUGUGAAAUCCCCGGGCUCAACCUGGGAACUGCAUCUGAGACUGGGAAGCUUGAGUCUUGUAGAGAGGGGUAGAAUUCCACGUGUAGCGGUGAAAUGCGUAGAGAUCUGGAGGAAUACCGGUGGCGAAGGCAGCCCCCUGG
RNAcentral lists this ribosomal RNA (209 nucleotides) under uncultured bacterium. Its description in RNAcentral is "partial 16S ribosomal RNA". It matches the Rfam family "Bacterial small subunit ribosomal RNA", at positions 524 to 732 of the family's 1533-position model. The record is from RNAcentral.